UAGGAGAAACUCUCAAGGUUUAUUUUCAGAACUCAACCACAGGUGGGGUGGGGUCCUAUCAGGAUGGACAGAGACGUAGAUAACAGAGACUGGAGACUCACCCAAUUUAUAUAAUAAAGCGUGCCGAGUUCUCACCCGUUACGGGAUUUCGCGAGACUUGAAGAAAAAUAUAGACGACGCCAUUUUGUUUGCGAAGCGGGUAAAAGCUACAAACUAAAGAGCGAAUUUAGAGCGAGUUCUUUGUUGACAUUGACUGAAUAUGUUAUUUUUAAAUUGCUGGAUAAUGUUUUCACCAGACCAGUUCAGUAAACAAGGGACAUCAUUGGAGGUUACGGUAUUUUGUGGUGUAAUUGUGUGGGUUCAGAGUCUGACUGGAUAUCUACACCUCUGGUGGAUUAUAAAAAAGAAGGGUUCGUCCACAGAAAAGGAACACAGGCUGUAAAAGAUAGAGCAAAAGCAAUCCCUGUCUAGGAACGCCAUACCUGCACGUGAAGCUCGAGGAUAUUACGGAACUCCCCCUGCAGCGUGGAGGUGACCAGUCUGCGAUGUAGGAGUUCGCUUACU
Molecule: long non-coding RNA, 564 nt
Organism: Dreissena polymorpha
Lineage: Eukaryota; Metazoa; Mollusca; Bivalvia; Myida; Dreissenidae
Exons: 3
Source: RefSeq, a predicted model, not a curated record